UGUGCAUGGUUGUCACUUGUGUGAGAGUUGGGUAAGUCGCAACGAGCGCAACCCUUGAUUUAGUUGCCAGCAUUCAGUUGGGCACUUAAGGUGACUGCCGGUGACAAACCGGAGGAAGGUGGGGAUGACGUCAAAUCAUCAUGCCCCUUAUGACCUGGGCUACACACGUGCUACAAUGGACAGAACAAAGGGCUGCAAGACCGCAAGGUUUAGCCAAUCCCAUAAAUCUGUUCUCAGUUCGGAUCGCAGUCUGCAACUCGACUGCGUGAAGCUGGAAUCGCUAGUAAUCGCGGAUCAGCAUGCCGCGGUGAAUACGUUCCCGGGCCUUGUACACACCGCCCGUCACACCACGAGAGUUUGCAACACCCGAAGUCGGUGAGGUAACCUUUAUGGAGCCAGCCGCCGAAGGUUGGGCAGAUGAUUGGGGGGG
RNAcentral lists this ribosomal RNA (430 nucleotides) under Bacillus sp. CQ. RNAcentral's name for it is "bacterial SSU rRNA". It matches the Rfam family "Bacterial small subunit ribosomal RNA", at positions 1040 to 1483 of the family's 1533-position model. Lineage: Bacteria; Bacillati; Bacillota; Bacilli; Caryophanales; Bacillaceae. The record is from RNAcentral.